CCUACGGGGGGCUGCAGUGGGGGAUAUUGCACAAUGGGGGAAACCCUGAUGCAGCGACGCCGCGUGAGUGAAGAAGUAUUUCGGUAUGUAAAGCUCUAUCAGCAGGGAAGAAAAUGACAGUACCUGACCAAGAAGCCCCGGCUAACUACGGGCCAGCAGCCGCGGUAAUACGGAGGGGGCAAGCGUGAUCCGGAUUUACGGGGUGUAAAGGGAGCGUAGGCGGUUAUGUAAGUGUGGAGUGAAAGGCCGGGGCCCAACCCCGGGACUGCUUUGGAAACUGUGUGACUAGAGUACAGGAGGGGCAGGCGGAAUUCCUGGUGUAGCGGUGAAAUGCGUAGAUAUCAGGAGGAACACCGGCGGCGAAGGCGGCCUGCUGGACUGAAACUGACGUUGAGGCACGAAAGCGUGGGGAGCAAACAGGAUUAGAUACCCGUGUAGUC
This 440-nucleotide ribosomal RNA is filed under the name uncultured bacterium. RNAcentral describes it as "partial 16S ribosomal RNA". It matches the Rfam family "Bacterial small subunit ribosomal RNA", at positions 338 to 795 of the family's 1533-position model. The record is from RNAcentral.